Molecule: ribosomal RNA, 506 nt
Filed under: uncultured bacterium
Lineage: Bacteria
Description: bacterial SSU rRNA
Rfam family: Bacterial small subunit ribosomal RNA
Source: RNAcentral
GGCGAACGCUGGCGGCAGGCCUAACACAUGCAAGUCGAACGGCCGUAGCAAUACGGCAGUGGCAGACGGGUGAGUAACACGUGGGAAUGUACCCUUCGGUUCAGAAUAACUCAGGGAAAUUUGGGCUAAUACCGGAUACGCCCUUACGGGGAAAGAUUUAUCGCCGAAGGAUCAGCCCGCGUCCGAUUAGCUAGUUGGUGGGGUAAUGGCCCACCAAGGCUCCGAUCGGUAGCUGGUCUGAGAGGAUGAUCAGCCACACUGGGACUGAGACACGGCCCAGACUCCUACGGGAGGCAGCAGUGGGGAAUAUUGGACAAUGGGCGCAAGCCUGAUCCAGCCAUGCCGCGUGAGUGAUGAAGGCCCUAGGGUUGUAAAGCUCUUUCGGCGGGGAAGAUAAUGACGGUACCCGCAGAAGAAGCCCCGGCUAACUUCGUGCCAGCAGCCGCGGUAAUACGAAGGGGGCUAGCGUUGCUCGGAAUCACUGGGCGUAAAGCGCACGUAGGCGG